Molecule: ribosomal RNA, 301 nt
Filed under: uncultured bacterium
Lineage: Bacteria
Description: partial 16S ribosomal RNA
Rfam family: Bacterial small subunit ribosomal RNA
Source: RNAcentral
CAGCAGCCACGGUAAUACGAAGGGGGCUAGCGUUGUUCGGAAUCACUGGGCGUAAAGGGUGCGUAGGCGGAUUCUUAAGUCAGGGGUGAAAUCCCGAGGCUCAACCUCGGAACUGCCUUUGAUACUGGGGAUCUUGAGUCCGGAAGAGGUGAGUGGAACUGCGAGUGUAGAGGUGAAAUUCGUAGAUAUUCGCAAGAACACCGGUGGCGAAGGCGGCUCACUGGUCCAGAACUGACGCUGAGGCACGACAGCGUGGGGAGCAAACAGGAUUAGAUACCCCCGUAGUCCCUGUCUCUUAUAC